AUGAAAAAGAGGGUUGCUUUUCAUAACUCACUUUGGCUUAAUCUGACUCAUAAGACUACCAGAGACCAUGCCUGCUUCCAUUUUGAUGAGAUCUUUUCCUUUUUUAAAAUAAAGUUACUUAAUAUAUGGCAAAACUUUUCAGUUCCCAAUGCAUCAUAUUCAUGUCAUAGAGUCAGGUUUGGAGAAUCUGCAAAAUCACAUAGCUCGCUCAUAUAAUCCUUUCUGUGGAUUACUUGGAGUAGGCCAUUAGCUCUUCCUGACUUUUUUUUCCCCUCUUUUUUAAAGUCAUUUCAUAUUAGCACCUCUUCCUGAGUAAAGAAUCAAUAACCAAAAAUGAAAGUGAAAUGGAUUGAUUUGACCUUGUGUCAAUUUCUGAGUGAGAGUUUGCUAAGAAAGGUAAAAACCACUGACCACAAUAAAAUAUUUGGAUUGGGGUUACUUAUUUUAAGC
This 450-nucleotide long non-coding RNA is filed under the name Sus scrofa (pig). RNAcentral describes it as "lncRNA (ENSSSCG00065040236.1)". Lineage: Eukaryota; Metazoa; Chordata; Mammalia; Artiodactyla; Suidae. The record is from RNAcentral.